GACGAACGCUGGCGGCGUGCUUAACACAUGCAAGUCGAGCGAGAGACUCCGGUCUCUAGCGGCGGACGGGUGAGUAACACGUGGGUAACCUGCCUCAAAGAGGGGGAUAGCCUCCCGAAAGGGAGCUUAAUACCGCAUAAUAUCAUAUCUUCGCAUGAAGGAAUGAUUAAAGGAGUAAUCCGCUUUGAGAUGGACCCGCGGCGCAUUAGCUAGUUGGAGAGGUAACGGCUCACCAAGGCGACGAUGCGUAGCCGACCUGAGAGGGUGAUCGGCCACAUUGGAACUGAGACACGGUCCAUACUCCUACGGGAGGCAGCAGUGGGGAAUAUUGCACAAUGGGCGAAAGCCUGAUGCAGCGACGCCGCGUGAGUGAAGAAGUUCUUCGGAUUGUAAAGCUCUGUCUUUUGGGACGAAAAAUUACGGUACCAAAGGAGGAAGCCACGGCUAACUACGUGCCAGCAGCCGCCGCAG
This 471-nucleotide ribosomal RNA is filed under the name uncultured bacterium. RNAcentral describes it as "partial 16S ribosomal RNA". It matches the Rfam family "Bacterial small subunit ribosomal RNA", at positions 28 to 523 of the family's 1533-position model. The record is from RNAcentral.